UAUUGCACAAUGGGGGGAACCCUGAUGCAGCGACGCCGCGUGGGCGAGGAAGUAUUUCGGUAUGUAAAGCCCUAUCGGCAGGGAAGAAGAAAUGACGGUACCUGAAUAAGAAGCACCGGCUAAAUACGUGCCAGCAGCCGCGGUAAUACGUAUGGUGCAAGCGUUAUCCGGAUUUACUGGGCGUAAAGGGAGCGCAGGCGGCGCGCCAAGUCUGAUGUGAAACCCCGGGGCUCAACCCCGGGCAUGCAUUGGAAACUGGCGGGCUGGAGUGCCGGAGAGGUAAGCGGAAUUCCAAGUGUAGCGGUGAAAUGCGCAGAUAUUAGGAGGAACACCAGUGGCGAAGGCGGCUUACUGGACGGCAACUGACGCUGAGGCUCGAAAGCGUGGGGAGCAAACAGG
RNAcentral lists this ribosomal RNA (399 nucleotides) under uncultured bacterium. RNAcentral's name for it is "bacterial SSU rRNA". It matches the Rfam family "Bacterial small subunit ribosomal RNA", at positions 362 to 776 of the family's 1533-position model. The record is from RNAcentral.